This 839-nucleotide long non-coding RNA is filed under the name Homo sapiens (human). Its description in RNAcentral is "HSALNT0170506". The record is from RNAcentral. Lineage: Eukaryota; Metazoa; Chordata; Mammalia; Primates; Hominidae.
GUAGGUAGCCCAUAGUUGGGUUUUGCUUUUUUAGCAGGGCCCUGGGCUGCCCUCGCGCCAAUGCAGGGAGCUCCACAAAGAUGAAGCAGAACACAAGGAAAGCCUGAGUCAGGCAGAAAUCCGUGUUGCUGGGGUCUGUAAACCAAAGCCAGCUCCUUGAAAAGGUCUGCUGCGUUGGAGCCUGUGAUUCUGAUUUAGAAGAGACGGCGUUGCCAUCCUGGCCAACAUGGUGAAACCCCAUCUCCACUAAAAAUACAAAAAUUAGCCGGGCAUGGUGGCACAUGCCUGUAAUCCCAGCAACUCGGGAGGCUGAGGCAGGAGAAUCACUUGAACCAGGGAGUCGGAGGUUGCGGUGAGCUGAGAUUGCACCACUGCACUCCAGCCUGGGCGUCGAUAAAUGGCAAUAAGGGAGGCGUGCCUGCCGCAAGGGUUUUGUGAAAGCUAUAAGAACACACUCCCUACAAAUUUAUACCGACACACCACAGACUUAGAGGAAAAGGUUUCCCAGGCCCUUCCCAAGGCCCUGAAGUUGACUUUCUAAGCCAAACAGACGGGACAUGUGGAUGGAAGGUCCACUUCUCAAAGAAAGUCUGAAGCAAGCUCAGGAAACUUCUGGAGCUUUCUGGAGCUGCACGGAAAGCUGUGGAUAUGUGGCCCCAUGACGUGGGUCUCUGAACUUGCAUAGACUUGACGUAUGGCACAAAAAUUGCAGAUGGAAAAGAGGAAACCACAGCUUUCACGCUAAUGAACAGUGUUUCUUACAAAGAGUUACCUGGCUUCUAGAUCUGUGAUCAUGAAUUCCAGUAAAGGCAAUCGGUUUGGUCUUUCUUUCUUGAGGA